Molecule: non-coding RNA, 45 nt
Organism: Dufourea novaeangliae
Lineage: Eukaryota; Metazoa; Arthropoda; Insecta; Hymenoptera; Halictidae
Source: Rfam
CAAUCGGCCCCCUUCGGGGCCACCAAUGAUCGUAACAUAGGAACA